Ailuropoda melanoleuca (giant panda) is the source of this 1648-nucleotide long non-coding RNA. RefSeq lists it as uncharacterized. The transcript has 3 exons. The record is from RefSeq and is a predicted model, not a curated record. NCBI's taxonomy places the organism in Eukaryota, Metazoa, Chordata, Mammalia, Carnivora, Ursidae.
GGAUCGCAAAACAAACCCCCCAUUUUGCAGAUGUCAACACUGAGAUUCAGAGAAUUGAAGGGGGCUGGGUGAGAUAAUGAGCUCCCGGCCCCAAGACUGCCCUUUGGAGGAUUUUAAGCAGGGAAGCGACACGGUCUCCUUUUAGGACGGUCUCCCCGGGCUCCGUGUAGAGGGUGGACCAGGGGGUGGGAGGCAGGUGGCAGGGGAGCAGGGAGGCUGUGGCAGGAGAUGAUGGGUCUAAAUGAAGGCGACAGUGAAUGGAAAAAAGAGAGGCUGCAUCCAUUGGUUGAACGGGGAUAGAGAAGUGAAGGGAACACUGACUAUACCUGUCCUCACCGAGCUUCUUGCUAGCAGAGGAGACACAAACAUAAUGGUGGGGUUUGUUAGAUAACAAUAAGGGAAAGACAGAGGCAGUGUGUAGGUGGAGACUGAACUGCAGAAGGCCUUAGUGAGAGGGUGACCUGUAAGCAAAGACUAGAGGAAGGGAGCUAGCUGGGUGAAUAGCGGGGUGGAUAUCUGGGAGAGGAGGACUCCAGGUGGAGGGAGCAGACAAGUGGAAAGGCCCCUAGGCAGGAGCAUGCUGGGGGGAUUUGAGGAACAGGGCAGACUGUGUAGGGGAUAGUUAAGAAUCAGGACAGAGAUCAGAUGUAGAGUGUGAGGAACAGGGAGCGGUUAAAGAUGAUUCCCUGUGUCUGCUUGGGUGACUGGGGGAUGGUAGAGAAAUGGAGAACCUUCCAGAGAUGGGUACUGUGGAGACUCUAGGUCUAGACAGCUCAGAUAACUACUGGUUCUCUCUGUCCUUCCCACAGUAAAUGCUCAGGGACUAUUUACUGAAUGAAUGGAUGAAGCCAUCCCACAGGGGUUCCCUGAAGCUGUGGGUGUGCAUGUCAUUGCCCAGAACCAGAAGAAAGUCAGAGAUUCUGGACUUUGACUCACAACUGUUCUGGAGGUGUGUAAUACUUGUUCCCACCUUCAAGAGGAAAUUGAGGCUCUGAAAGCAGUGCUCCUGCCCGCUACACCCUCCAUGACACCCCAGAGAUCCCAGCAUCCUCCCCUAGGUGCUGGGUCUUGCCUGCUCUGCUCUGAGUCUGAGGCCCCAGCUGCACAGACAGGCAGAUCUCUUCCUGGGGACCUUCCAGCUCUGAAGUUCUAACCUCUUGGUCAGCCCCUGGCUCCAUUUCCUCCCAAGGUUCAUCAUUUCUGGUGCCUCCUGGCUCAGGGGCCUGGAUGAACACACCAUAGUCAGCAUGAAAACAUGGUUGGAACCCCUCAGACCUCCUCCUGUCUCCUUGCCCUGAUGUUAGCUCCCCCUGCUGCUUUCUGGUGCCUGUCUGAGCCAUCACUACUGGAACGUCCAAGCCACCUGAUAGGCUAUGGCUCCUCCGGGAAAGCAGUCCUCCCCACCCCCACCCCUAAACUGCAGAGUGGAGAGAGGUGUGCAGAAUUCUCUUGCACAGAUUGUGAGAAAUGCAUGAGAAGCCCUCCACCAGGGCAACAGACAUCAGCCAAGGGCAAAAAGAAAAGUCAGCAGAUACAGUCUUUUCCAUCCUGGAUGGAUGUGGUGUGGUAGGGAGGAGAAAGCUGGCCCAGGCAGUAGAAAGCCUGGGGAGGAGGGGAUAUCUGAGAAAGGGCAGGCCCUAAGUUUUGA